AACUCGCCUACACGAAGUUGGAAUUGCUAGUAAUCGUGGAUCAGCAUGCCACGGUGAAUACGUUCCCGGGUCUUGUACACACCGCCCGUCACACCAUGGGAGCUGGUAACACCCGAAGUCAGUAGUCUAACCGCAAGGAGGACGCUGCCGAAGGUGGGAUUAGCGACUGGGGUGAAGUCGUAACAAGGUAGC
This 192-nucleotide ribosomal RNA is filed under the name uncultured bacterium. RNAcentral describes it as "partial 16S ribosomal RNA". It matches the Rfam family "Bacterial small subunit ribosomal RNA", at positions 1309 to 1500 of the family's 1533-position model. The record is from RNAcentral.